Molecule: unclassified non-coding RNA, 355 nt
Filed under: soil metagenome
Description: partial contains 5.8S ribosomal RNA, internal transcribed spacer 2, and large subunit ribosomal RNA
Rfam family: 5.8S ribosomal RNA (bases 1-121)
Source: RNAcentral
GAUGAAGAACGUAGCGAAAUGCGAUAAGUAAUGCGAAUUGCAGAAUUCCAGUGAGUCAUCGAAUCUUUGAACGCACAUUGCGCCCUUUGGUAUUCCGAAGGGCAUGCCUGUUCGAGCGUCAUUAUCAUCCCUCAAGCCCUCGGCUUGGUGUUGGGGCACCCGGCCGCCUGACGACCCGGGGCCCUCAAGUAUAUCGGCGGUCUCGUCGGGACUCUGAGCGCAGUAACUCGCGGUAAAACGCGCCUCGCUUGGACCGUCUCCGGCGGGUUCCGGCCGCUAAACACCCCCCUCUCAGAGUUGACCUCGGAUCAGGUAGGAAUACCCGCUGAACUUAAGCAUAUCAAUAAGCGGAGGA